RNAcentral lists this ribosomal RNA (540 nucleotides) under Triticum aestivum (bread wheat). Its description in RNAcentral is "partial small subunit ribosomal RNA". The record is from RNAcentral. Lineage: Eukaryota; Viridiplantae; Streptophyta; Magnoliopsida; Poales; Poaceae.
AUGAAGGAGGUACAUGAUGCAGGUAGAGAGGAUGAAGAAGAGGCAGAUUGGGAUCAAUAUGGCCCGUACCCAGAUUUGGGGGAUGCCUUUGAAGGAUUGAAGCUGCAGGGUGAGGAGGAAGAGGAAUUAGAUCUGUCAGGAGAGGUGGAUGAGCUGAUCAGUGAGGUGUGGUGGCUGGCCUUGUUUAGGGUUCAUACCCUACGUCCGUUUAGUCAAGCAGCUUUGUUGAAUUCCAUGAGGAACGCUUGGACUUGCGCACAAGGAGUCACUUUCAAUGUUAAGGGACCUAAUCUAUUCCUUGCUCAGUGUCAUUGUUUGGGGGAUUGGAAGCGGGUAAUGGAAGGAGGACCAUGGCAAUUUCGUCGGGAUCCGGUUGUGUUAGUGGAGUAUGAUGGUUUUACCAACGUUGCAAAAUACGCCUUGAACAUGUAUCCAUUAUGGGCAAGAAUUAAAGGUCUACCAGAUGGCCUUACUAGAGAAAAAAUUAGCGGAGAAAGUUGCAAAGAAGGUGGGAGAGCCCCCGUUUAUAGUAGUGGUUAA